Molecule: ribosomal RNA, 629 nt
Filed under: Kurtzmanomyces nectairei
Lineage: Eukaryota; Fungi; Basidiomycota; Agaricostilbomycetes; Agaricostilbales; Chionosphaeraceae
Description: eukaryotic LSU rRNA
Rfam family: Eukaryotic large subunit ribosomal RNA
Source: RNAcentral
UAAGCGGAGGAAAAGAAACUAACCAGGAUUCCCCUAGUAACGGCGAGUGAAGCGGGAAUAGCUCAACUUUGUAAUCUGGCCCUUUCAGGGUCCGAGUUGUAGUCUCGAGAAGUCAUGUCCGCGCCGGACCUUGGACAAGUCGGUUGGAAUACCGCGUCAACGAGGGUGACAAUCCCGUUUAUGCCAAGGACGCCCGUGUGCAUUGUGAUGGGCUUUCAAAGAGUCGAGUUGUUUGGGAAUGCAGCUCAAAUCGGGUGGUAAAUUCCAUCUAAAGCUAAAUAUUGGCGAGAGACCGAUAGCGAACAAGUACCGUGAGGGAAAGAUGAAAAGCACUUUGGAAAGAGAAUGAAACAGUAUGUGAAAUUGCUGGAAGGGAAACGAUUGAGGUUAGACUUGCUGGCGCGGCACUCAGCCCUCACGGGUGUACUUGCUGCGCGUUGCAGGCCAGCAUCGGUUUGGUUUCCGGUAAAAGGGCGCCAGGAACGUAGCAACCUCGGUUGUGUUAUAGACUGGCGCUGGAUGCCUGGAUCCCAGACCGAGGAACGCAGGGCGCCUUUUAGGCACUGGCUCCGGUCAGCGAGCCCUUAGGAUGCUGGUAGAAUAGCCUUAACGACCCGUCUUGAAACACG